UCCGUAGGCGGACUAAUAAGUCAGGGGUGAAAUCCAACAGCUUAACUGUUGAACUGCCUUUGAUACUGUUAGUCUUGAAUUAUAUGGAAGUAGAUAGAACGUGUAGUGUAGCGGUGAAAUGCUUAGAGAUUACACAGAAUACCGAUUGCGAAGGCAGUCUACUACGUAUAUAUUGACGCUAAUGGACGAAAGCGUGGGGAGCGAACAGGAUUAGAUACCCUGGUAGUCC
RNAcentral lists this ribosomal RNA (229 nucleotides) under uncultured bacterium. RNAcentral describes it as "partial 16S ribosomal RNA". It matches the Rfam family "Bacterial small subunit ribosomal RNA", at positions 568 to 796 of the family's 1533-position model. The record is from RNAcentral.